This is a long non-coding RNA of Cyprinus carpio (common carp), 3129 nucleotides long. The record is from Ensembl. NCBI's taxonomy places the organism in Eukaryota, Metazoa, Chordata, Actinopteri, Cypriniformes, Cyprinidae.
ACUCCACAUGUGUGCCAGGUGACCCCUUGCGCAUUAGGUGGACCCCAGAAGCAUUUCCGCUGAACACUGAUGAUGAAGCGGUUUACCUGCGUCCAGAGUUUAACACAUCACUGCAUCUGACACUCUGAAGUGUACUACACAUGACGGCACCAAACCAACCUCAUCUUCCUGUAAUGCUGGAGUGUAAAACUCAAAAACUGACACUGUGAUACUGUGAAUAUUACCAUGUAAAACCAGACCAUGUUUUCAAACUAGACUGUUCUGUUUAAAAUAAAAAUAGUGCUAUACUUUGUAGAUUUUAAUUACUAUUAAUGAAGUAACACAUAGUACCUCAGUAUAAGCCUGCUUACUCAGUCACACCCAAAUACACUCAAUGCCGACCACCACCAUGACGUACCGCAUGCCAAACUUCACUCUGGAGCAGAAGCUUUUCCUGCUUCGGAGAAUCCAUGCGGUGGUGGACACAGUGCAGGACUUUCGGAAAGACACCAACACUACUGUGCACCGGAACGCUGUAUGGGCAGAGCUGGCCCAGGCCUUCAAUGCGGCGUUCCCUAGUCGACCCCCCAGCAGCAUCGGGUCUCUGAAGACACUGUGGAAACGUCUGAAGGUGGAAUGUCGUGUAGCACUGCAGAAGCGACAGGAGCAGCAGACAGCUGGGCUUCCUGUGUCUGCCCUCACGCAGGUGCAGAGAGAAGUGAUUGCUCUGGUACCAAACCUGAUCUCCUGUCUGGAGGAGGUAGACGGAGAUGGCAGCUAUAGCUCAGUUAGGGGUGGCUCACCUGGAGCAGUGAUGGGGCUUUCAGGCACUAAUGGGAGUGAGCAUGAAGAUGCUGACCACAGUCAAAAUGAUGAAGUAGACAGCAAGGAGUAUUUAGCUACUGAACUUGGAUUGUUCUCACCAACUCACCCACCUGUUAACUCUGGGAUUCCUCCUGGCACUGCCUCCUCUCCUCUCCACUCACAUUUAGUCUCUUCCAGGUCCAGCCGUCCAUUCCUCAUCUUCCCAACCCAUGCAGGAAGCACCUCAGGGCUGAGAUCAGGGACUAGGGGUGCAAACUUUGAUACCCCACACAGAGAGCCUGCAGUGCCACGUGCUCCUGCCGGAGGAGCAGCUGAGAAUUCAUUACCGCCAAUGGACUCUUAUACCUCAAAUUUAAAAUGGGAGCCACGUCGACAGGAACGGUUUGAGCUGGAGCAUCAGCAGACGAUAAGUCUGUUAUUGCUGCAGCAGUGUGUGUGGGAGGAGAAGAGGAAAGCAGUGAGACAGAAAGAGAAGGCAGCACGGGCCAAAAAGAGAUAUUAUCAAGCCAAACUACGGAAGAUCGGCACAGAUCAUCCACCUUCCAGCAGUGACAGCGAGGAUAACGAACAUCUACAGAUGUAAACUCAGAUGUUUAUGACGUCUUAGCUAUGUUUGCUUUCUUUUUGAAAGUCAUGUUUUAUUCUUGCAAUGCUGUUUAUUUAUAAAACAAUAUAUUUUUUAUUGUGGACUAAACUUAACUGGUGUUUAGGAAUGUACCAUGUGUAUCAUAUGGAGGGGGGAAUUCACUCAAGCAGGCUUUGUUCCAAUAGCCGAUAAAAAUCUCAUUUCCAUUCAUACUCUCUCUCAACCCUGAUGAUGUGUUCCAUUCAAUCAACAGUGGGAUAGUUCAUCUGAAAAUUAAAAUUCAUAAUUUACUAACCCUCAUAUUGCUCCAAACUGUGUGACUUACUUUCUUCUGAAAAACACAAACGAAGAUAUUUUAAAAAUGCCUGUGUUUAUUUUGUCCAUGCAAUAGGAGUUAAUGGGUCCAGUGUUGUUUUUACCCCCACUGACUUUCAUUGUAUGCAAAACAGUUGAAAUAUUUCUCUAAAUAUCUUCUUUUGUGUUCUGCAGAAGAAACCAAGUCAUACAUGUUUGGAGCAACAUAAGGAGAAGUAAAUGGAUGAACCGGCCCUUUAAAGGCUCUCCGUUGUCCAACAGACUUAGAUUAUGACAUAUAAAUAUAUAUGGUAUAUGGGAAGUAUGGGACUCCACACUUCACAUCACUUUCACUAAAGAAUCAAAUGGUAAUGCUAAUGUUAGUGUUGCAAUUGUCAACAAAGAAGCCUUCUAGCAUCCAGUUUGCAGAGGAUAAACAGUGCUGUGCAAUACUAAUAUUUGUUUUACAUGAGCAAAAUUAUCAACAUAAACGUUCAUUUGCCAUUUUUUACAAGCAUUUAAGAUUUUAUAAUAAUGUAAAUUUAAUUACGUUGACCUGUUUAUAAAUUGAAUUUGCUUAAAAGAGUGAAUGUUUAUCAUGCACUGCACUAAGUCUUUCUGGGUCUUAUGUUUGAGUGAUAUCAUAUAACCAAAACCAUUGAAAAUCUAAUGUUAUGGAAGUUUUCCAAAUGGGAAAUUAGAAACUGAAGUGCAAUGAUCGAACAGGCUCAUCUAGUGCAUGUUUACAAUGGAAAAGCAGAGCAGUGUAAUGCAGAAAUGUGUUCUGUGUGAACAGCCCAAAGCCCUCACACAGUCAGAAUCAAUCAGUGAGGAGAUAUUUAGUCCUGAUACUUGUGCUUGAUGAGAAGAGGAAAUGAACUGAAAUGAGAUUUCUAAUGUUACUGCAUAGCAUUUUAAUUUAAUGUGUGUGGGUCAAACCAAGGAUUGAUUAAGGUUCUCAAAGGCCCCCGUUUGAUGCCUUUACAUUACAAUAUAAAUAGCAUGAAACAUUACAUUACAAAUUACUGUAUGUAGUUUUAUUAAUUAGACAGAGCACAACAUAUAUGGAAAACAUUUCAGGGGUCAUUGCCAGUCCAUAAUCUAUCCUUGGAUCCAACUCAUUUGACUGUUUUAGGACAGUGUCCUCAGGACCAACCUUUGGAUUGAGUUCACUGUAGCUCAUUUAUACUAUGCAGAUUUUUGUUUUGUUUUUUCAGGUAAAUAAGUGCUUUUCUUAAAUUGACUUCCUACUCAUGGAGUGGUUGAAUUUAGUUCAGUGUUGUUAAUUUACUUGUCUUAGUAUACAGUGUUUGGGAACAGAGCCCUCUGUUCUUUUUCAAAAUAUGAAAAAGCUGGAAAUUCUGUCAUCAUAUUCAUACCCUUAUGAUUUUUCCAAACCUAUAUGUUCUAUGUUGCAAGAAAUAAAGUCGUAGAGGUUUGGAACA